Molecule: ribosomal RNA, 468 nt
Filed under: uncultured bacterium
Lineage: Bacteria
Description: partial 16S ribosomal RNA
Rfam family: Bacterial small subunit ribosomal RNA
Source: RNAcentral
GACGAACGCUGGCGGCGUGCUUAACACAUGCAAGUCGAACGGAAAGGCCCUGCUUUUGUGGGGUGCUCGAGUGGCGAACGGGUGAGUAGCACGUGAGUAACCUGCCCUUGACUUUGGGAUAACUUCAGGAAACUGGGGCUAAUACCGGAUAGGAGCUCCUGCUGCAUGGUGGGGGUUGGAAAGUUUCGGCGGUUGGGGAUGGACUCGCGGCUUAUCAGCUUGUUGGUGGGGUAGUGGCUUACCAAGGCUUUGACGGGUAGCCGGCCUGAGAGGGUGACCGGCCACAUUGGGACUGAGAUACGGCCCGGACUCCUACGGGAGGAAGAAGUGGGGAAUAUUGCACAAUGGGCGGAAGCCUGAUGCAGCAACGCCGCGGGCGGGAUGACGGCCUUCGGGUUGUAAACCGCUUUCGCCUGUGACGAAGCGUGAGUGACGGUAAUGGGUAAAGAAGCACCGGCUAACUACGUG